Molecule: ribosomal RNA, 460 nt
Filed under: uncultured bacterium
Lineage: Bacteria
Description: partial 16S ribosomal RNA
Rfam family: Bacterial small subunit ribosomal RNA
Source: RNAcentral
CCUACGGGAGGCUGCAGUGGGGAAUAUUGGUCAAUGGACGCAAGUCUGAACCAGCCAUGCCGCGUGCAGGAAGACGGCGCUAUGCGUUGUAAACUGCUUUUGUACGAGGGUAAACGCAGAUACGCGUAUCUGUCUGAAAGUAUCGUACGAAUAAGGAUCGGCUAACUCCGUGCCAGCAGCCGCGGUAAUACGGAGGAUUCGAGCGUUAUCCGGAUUUAUUGGGUUUAAAGGGUGCGUAGGCGGUCGGAUAAGUUAGAGGUGAAAUCCCGGGGCGCAACUUCGGAAUUGCCUCUGAUACUGGUCGGCUAGAGAGUAGUUGAGGUAGGCGGAAUGUAUGGUGUAGCGGUGAAAUGCAUAGAGAUCAUACAGAACCCCGAUUGCGAAGGCAGCUUACCAAGCUACUUCUGACGUUGAGGCACGAAAGCGUGGGGAGCGAACAGGAUUAGAUACCCUUGUAGUC